RNAcentral lists this ribosomal RNA (656 nucleotides) under uncultured bacterium. RNAcentral's name for it is "bacterial SSU rRNA". It matches the Rfam family "Bacterial small subunit ribosomal RNA", at positions 9 to 659 of the family's 1533-position model. The record is from RNAcentral.
GAGUUUGAUCCUGGCUCAGGAUGAACGCUGGCGGCGUGCUUAACACAUGCAAGUCGAACGGGGAUUACACGGCGAUGCGAUUUCGGUCAAAUCAAGUGCAAUCUUAGUGGCGGACGGGUGAGUAACGCGUGGGUAACCUGCCUUGCACUGGGGGAUAACACUUAGAAAUAGGUGCUAAUACCGCAUAAGCGCACGGUCCUGCAUGGGACAGUGUGAAAAACUCCGGUGGUGCAAGAUGGACCCGCGUCUGAUUAGCUGGUUGGCGGGGUAAAGGCCCACCAAGGCGACGAUCAGUAGCCGGCCUGAGAGGGUGGACGGCCACAUUGGGACUGAGACACGGCCCAAACUCCUACGGGAGGCAGCAGUGGGGGAUAUUGGACAAUGGGGGGAACCCUGAUCCAGCGACGCCGCGUGAGUGAAGAAGUAUUUCGGUAUGUAAAGCUCUGUCAGCANGGAAGAAAGCAAUGACGGUACCUGACCAAGAAGCCCCGGCUAACUACGUGCCAGCAGCCGCGGUAAUACGUANGGGGCAAGCGUUAUCCGGAAUUACUGGGUGUAAAGGGAGCGUAGACGGCUGUGCAAGUCUGGAGUGGAAGGCGGGGGCCCAACCCCCGGACUGCUCUGGAAACUGUAAUGGCUGGAAUCCAAGACAGGUA